GGGCCUGUAGCUUAGUGGUAGAGCACCCGCCUUGCACGCGGGACAUGGGAGUUCGAUUCUCCCCAGGUCCA
This 71-nucleotide transfer RNA is filed under the name bacterium. RNAcentral's name for it is "tRNA-Ala". It matches the Rfam family "tRNA". Rfam says of the family: Transfer RNA (tRNA) molecules are approximately 80 nucleotides in length. Their secondary structure includes four short double-helical elements and three loops (D, anti-codon, and T loops). The record is from RNAcentral.